Molecule: ribosomal RNA, 253 nt
Filed under: uncultured bacterium
Lineage: Bacteria
Description: partial 16S ribosomal RNA
Rfam family: Bacterial small subunit ribosomal RNA
Source: RNAcentral
UACAGAGGUCUCAAGCGUUGUUCGGAUUCAUUGGGCGUAAAGGGUGCGUAGGUGGCGCCAUAAGUCAGGUGUGAAAUCUCGGGGCUUAACUCCGAAACUGCAUUUGAUACUGUGGUGCUUGAGGACUGGAGAGGAAACUGGAAUUCACGGUGUAGCAGUGAAAUGCGUAGAUAUCGUGAGGAAGACCAGUGGCGAAGGCGGGUCUCUGGACAGUUCCUGACACUGAGGCACGAAGGCCAGGGGAGCAAACGGG